AUUGAACGCUGGCGGCAUGCUUUACACAUGCAAGUCGGACGGCAGCACAGAGAAGCUUGCUUCUUGGGUGGCGAGUGGCGAACGGGUGAGUAACAUAUCGGAACGUACCGAGCAGUGGGGGAUAACUAAUCGAAAGAUUAGCUAAUACCGCAUAUCUUCUGAGGAAGAAAGCAGGGGAGCAUUUGGCCUUGCGCCUUUUGAGCGGCCGAUAUCUGAUUAGCUAGUUGGUGGGGUAAAGGCCUACCAAGGCGACGAUCAGUAGCGGGUCUGAGAGGAUGAUCCGCCACACUGGAACUGAGACACGGCCCAGACUCCUACGGGAGGCAGCAGUGGGGAAUUUUGGACAAUGGGCGCAAGCCUGAUCCAGCAAUGCCGCGUGUCUGAAGAAGGCCUUCGGGUUGUAAAGGACUUUUGUCAGGGAAGAAAAGGGCGGGGUUAAUACCCCUGUCUGAUGACGGUACCUGAAGAAUAAGCACCGGCUAACUACGUG
RNAcentral lists this ribosomal RNA (490 nucleotides) under uncultured bacterium. Its description in RNAcentral is "partial 16S ribosomal RNA". It matches the Rfam family "Bacterial small subunit ribosomal RNA", at positions 30 to 507 of the family's 1533-position model. The record is from RNAcentral.